AUGAGGAGACAUUUCUGCUCAGAAAGAGCAGUCAGGCACUGGGACGGGUUGCUCAGGGAGGUGGUGGAGUCACCGUCCCUGGGGAUGUUCGAGGAGAGGUUGGACGUGGUGCUUGGGGACAUGGUUUGGUGGGUGACAUUGGUGGUAGGGGGGUGGUUGGACCAGGUGAUAUUGGAGGGCUUUUCCAACCUUAAUAACUCUGUGAUUCUGUGUUUAGCCUGGAGAAGGCUCAGGGGUGACCUGACUCCAGCUUUUCUAAGAAAAAAACCUCCUGCUUGGUGGCCAGGAACUGGAGACCUGCACAUCUGGCCACAAAGGCACCAGUGCUGCAAAGAAGACAUCCAGCUGUUUAUGGACACACCUUCUGCCCAGGGCUUUAGUUGCUGAAGUCAGUCAGGAGCCUCCGCUGAGCCCGGUGCCCACCAGAGACACUCCUGCAGCUUUGUGCUACUGGAGGCUCCAAACGUGGACAGGAGCUGCCCCCACUCCAAGCAGCCUUUUGACAAGAUAAUGGCUCUGUGUGCAUGCUAGGUCCAAGAUAAUGUUUUUUUCUACUCAUUUUCACAAGGCCUGACGAAAAUUGUGCCUCUCCCCUGCCAUUUAUUUGGUGAAAUAACAGGGUUUGUCCAUUAGAAGAAAAUCUCUCCUCUACUUGUGAAGACAAGUACAUUUGGGAUAAGUUUCCAGUGUUAAACCCGAGCCUGAGGAAGCUUAUGAUUCACAGGGCACGGCAAAAUGCUGCCCACUGCUCACCACCUCUUGCUGUUACACAGUCUCUCAGAUCUGAUAAACACAUUUAGGGCUUUGUCAUCUCCUUUGUUCAGGGAUGUAAGAAUUCUGCAGGAUAACACAUUAAGUGAUAUAGUUUGUGACCUUCAUUUUACUGCAGAUUUAAAUCCCUGUUAAGGAUCUGGCCUUAUCAGAGGCAGGCAGUCUUCCAUUUGGGAAAAAGGGGCUCAGUUCAGUACAAACUGCUCUCUCUGAGACCAAGGGAAAAAACGAAAACUAUUUCCAUGAAGAACUAAAGCUGGGAAUAAAGAAAUAGCUUCAUCAUCA
RNAcentral lists this long non-coding RNA (1056 nucleotides) under Anas platyrhynchos platyrhynchos (common mallard). RNAcentral describes it as "lncRNA (ENSAPLG00000017651.1)". Lineage: Eukaryota; Metazoa; Chordata; Aves; Anseriformes; Anatidae. The record is from RNAcentral.